RNAcentral lists this ribosomal RNA (513 nucleotides) under uncultured bacterium. RNAcentral describes it as "partial 16S ribosomal RNA". It matches the Rfam family "Bacterial small subunit ribosomal RNA", at positions 28 to 523 of the family's 1533-position model. The record is from RNAcentral.
GAUGAACGCUGGCGGCGUGCCUAAUACAUGCAAGUCGAGCGAACAGACGAGGAGCUUGCUCCUCUGACGUUAGCGGCGGACGGGUGAGUAACACGUGGAUAACCUACCUAUAAGACUGGGAUAACUUCGGGAAACCGGAGCUAAUACCGGAUAAUAUAUUGAACCGCAUGGUUCAAUAGUGAAAGACGGUUUUGCUGUCACUUAUAGAUGGAUCCGCGCCGCAUUAGCUAGUUGGUAAGGUAACGGCUUACCAAGGCGACGAUGCGUAGCCGAACUGAGAGGGUGAUCGGCCACACUGGAACUGAGGCACGGUCCAGACUCCUACGGGAGGCAGCAGUAGGGAAUCUUCCGCAAUGGGCGAAAGCCUGACGGAGCAACGCCGCGUGAGUGAUGAAGGUCUUCGGAUCGUAAAACUCUGUUAUUAGGGAAGAACAAAUGUGUAAGUAACUAUGUACGUCUUGACGGUACCUAAUCAGAAAGCCACGGCUAACUACGUGCCAGCAGCCGCGGUAA